This 18062-nucleotide long non-coding RNA is filed under the name Capsicum annuum. Its description in RNAcentral is "long non-coding RNA (CANN_LNC019127)". The record is from RNAcentral. Lineage: Eukaryota; Viridiplantae; Streptophyta; Magnoliopsida; Solanales; Solanaceae.
CACCUCUCUCUCUCUAAACACGUGAUUUCUUCCUUUUCUCUUGGAGAAAAAUUGCAGCCUCCUUUCACCAUUGGAAAAGUUUGCUUCCCCAUUCUUGUGUCAUGGCUGUGACAACCACGUGAAGGUGAAUAGAUCCAUUCCAACAUUUGUAUUUCAAAAAUGUUCAAAAACUGAAUGACAAAAUUCCCGCCCAAUGGAGAGAAACCUUGUUUUCCUCUUUAAAAAUUUACGUUUGGAGUUCACUCAGGAGGAUUUUCUUUGCAGCCGCUGCUCCCAUAACUCUUGAAAUCAUUAUUUUUUUUCCUUGCUAAAAAAGAGUAGAAUACAAAACAAAACCUUUUGUCUGAAAUGUCCAUCCCUCUAUUCUGUCUGUAUGUUUUGUUGCACGAUUCGGGUUUGAAGUCGUAGAGUUUGUGUGUGGUUUUGCGAUCUUGAGGCUCACAUUCCAAAUGAUAGGCAACAAAGUUCUUAUUUCACAAAUAUUUACACUUUUUCAUUUCUGUUGGAAGUUCUGGUUUGUUUCGAUUUGGUCCGAGUUACAGGAUCGUCAAGUUCGAGCGUGGGUUUCGUGAUCUAAAGUUCCCCGUUCACUGCCCCGAAAUUGGUAAAUCCACCUUCCUUCUAUGCUUAAUUUAGAGAAUCAUAUGUUAUGAACAGUUUGCUUGACUUGUUACUGGGACCUUUUUUGUGUUUGUUGUAUGCUAACUGUGAUAUAUAUAAAUAUUCAAAUGUGGUUUAUUUUGAAAAUCAUGAACCUUGAGUUUUAUCCUCCAACUUGUUUUCACAAAAAUAAUUAUUUAGGAGUUUAACUAGGCACGCUCAACUUGAUUUUAUUUGUCUGUUUAGUGUCGAAGUUAGCCCUCAUGAAUUAAAAAAAUGAUCUUUAUUUCUGGACCGAAUACCCACACGAAAUCAGUUUUAUUUUUAGUUAAUUAAUGUCCAUUGUGUAUCAUUGUAUGAUGAGAUAUUUUGCACAGCAAGGAUAUCCAUAGAGAAACAGGCUAGAGAUUUCUGUUAUUUUGUUUGGUUUUAAAAUAUGUCUUGCAAACUACUACGCUCUCUAAUAAAAUAUGAAAGUUUUGGUCACUCUUUAUCAUCUCUGUACCCAUCGAUGCGAAUUUUAAGCUUCUUUGUUAAUCUAUUUGUUGUGUGCAUUAGAUUUUUCUUUUCCGGGUUUUAAAUAUUAGUUGUAUGAAAUCCCUGAGGGAACUUGUUACUAAUUUCGCCCACACUUUGUAGAAGUGUUUACACACAUAUAUAUAUAUAUAAUUUAAGGUGUUUGCGACAACCUACGUUUAGAAACAAUGGUUACAAAGAAGUGUGGAGCAUAUUUGUUUUCUUGUAGUUUCUUCUAAGUUUCGAGUAGCAUUUUAGAUGUUCAUUUAAAAAAAAACUAGAAUUGAUUGUAGUUUAGAUCACUGGCAUCCCUUGGUAUAUUUUUGAAAGAAUAACCUUAUGUUUCGGUUACAUGAAAAUGUGUAGUUUCUCGUUACUUUGCAAAAGAAGAUAACUUUGUUUAUUGUCUCGUGUAAUCCCUUUCUAUAUAUCUUGAAUCUAUCCAUUUUUUUCUAAUGAUAUCUUCUUCUUCCUUUUACAUGGACACCGGAGUCGAAGAGUCUCAACUUUGAGACUCGACACCCCCACGAGACUUGAAACAUGCAUCUACAUCCACUCAUAUCUAUCACUUCUUUGAGACUCCGUCCGAGAGGUACAAAAUGCAAAUGGGAUGAGCUAAUACAGUGCAAAGAAAGCUCUCUUUGGUUGUUUUGUUUUGGGGCUAAUGAAUUAAUUUAUUGCUCUAUUUAUCUAUUUUUGUGUCUCCAUUGCUAAUUGCUCUCCUUAUUGAUUAUUUACUGAUUGAAUUGGUGGUUAAAUCUGACUAACCUCGCAUGUCUUGGGCUUGUAAUAUAAUUCAGUAGUUUCUCCGUAGAUAAGCUAAAAGAGAAUUUGAAUUUAAUUUAAGAAUGAAUCACUAGCACCUCUAUAUCUAAUUCGUGGGAUCUGUUGAAUUAAUUUGGUGGGUCAUUAUAUCACCUAUAAGAUUUGGAUAAAGGAAUACUUUUUGACAUAUUUUAUUUAAGAAAUCUAAUACAUUUUCCUUGGUACUUUUAAAUAUAUAAAAAAUAAUAAUCCCCUUCAGUUCAAAUACUAUCUAGGAAUCCAACUUACUGUGUUCCACCUUUCAACACUUAAUUGUAUCAUUUUUAUCUAUUUUCUCUAAUCAAUUCAUUCGCUACUUUGAAUUUUUUCUUUUAAAAGGCCUGAUAUACUUCUUUAGUUUUUCGCCUAUUUUAGUAUAAUUAAUUAAUCUAAGUUUGGUCGUUUAAUCGUAGUUGGCGAAUCCUUUAGGGUGCCUAAUCUCUUUCCUUUAGGAUAAUUAGAACCCUUACUUAGAAUCGCUAGUUAAGUAGACUUUAAAAUGAAGUCCUUUAAUUUUAAUUAUUUAGCAUAUAAUAGGUGUCCUAAUUCACCAUAGAACUAAUUAGGUGGUGACUUCCUUUUAUUAACUUAGAAUUUUUCUAAUAUGUUGUACACUAUUUUGACCUCGUGUUAAAAUGGGGUAUAACACUCACGAUCAUACAACUUAAAGCUUUGCUCAGCCUUCUUUCUAGACUCAUAGUCCCUCUUUAAAUGCCUAUUCUACCAAAUGGGUACACAACAGAUUAUCAGAUACAAAGACAUACUUGCUCUGGGAAUUAUAAGGGGGUUGAUAUCUUUUCUAUCUGGACCUUGAACUCCAUUUAAUUUUUAAUUUGUUAGGGUGGAUAAUAGUCUGGACGAGGCAGUCCAUUUAAGAGAUUUACGAAGGUCUUUUUUGACUCAGAUCAGGUCCCUUUCUAGCUGGGAGUUUCUACUUAGGGAGGUUUCAAGAAGUUUUUGUUAAUUUUCUAACCUCUCUUUUAAGUUCUAACUAAAGACUACUAGCUUCCUCUUUUUCUUUAGAUUGAUAUACAAAUAAACUCAACAUCUUUUCUUUUAGGACAUCAUUUUCUUUUGACAAAAUAACUAAUUUUUGUCCCAACUUAGACACUUUGACAGCAAAAGAUAUUUUUUCAUUUUUAGACACUUCAAGGGUUUUACCCCAGAGAUCCUCCUCAUUAGUGAGAAAACCAAAGAGUCUAUAAAGGCACUUGUUAUAACCUUGAGCCUUUUUAAAGAGUAAUUAUUGAUAUUUUGUUUGAUGUCAAGAAGAGUUACCUUUUUAUCAUCUUCAUCAGCAGAUUUGGCCAUGGAUGCAAAAAGUGAAUCAAAGGUAUCAUCUGAAUCUUCAAUCACCAUUAUUGAAAUGUCUUCAGGAUGAUCAUCAGAGCCACUAGAUGAGUCUCUCUAUGCUUCUAGGUCUUGUUUCACAACAUAGUCAGCAACUGCUCUCUUUCUGAUUAUGUUUGAAACUCGAUCCUUCUACUUUUCUUUAUCUGGUACACCUUUUCCAUAGUGCUUGUGUUCUUCCUUGUGCAUUGGGAAAUACCUGAUAAUACUUAUGACACAAAUCAUUCCUAUAGAUGAUCUACUAGAGUUACCUCUUCAUUUAAAUCAUCUAUUUUUCCUCAUAAGCUUGUAAAAUCUCUUGGUUUUGUAUGCUACAUCUUCACCCUUUUUCAUAUUCUUCGCUUUUGGCUAAUUCUAAAGCCAAUAUCUUCUCUUUCUUUGAUUUUUUCUUAUCCUGCUCCUUCUACUUCUUUAUUUUAUAGGUUUAUAAGUUUCCUAUGAGCUCAUCCAUCGUGAAAGUUUUCAAGGCCCUUACUACAAUAAUAGCAUUGACCUUAAUUUCCUAUGACUUGGUAAGAACACUAAGCACUUUUCUUACUUACUUAAUAUCCUGAUGUCCUCACCUAGACUGGUGCAACUCAUUUGUGAUGGAUAUAAAUCUUGUAUGUAUUUCUUGAAUAGUUUCUCCCUCUUUUAUGGUAAAGGUUUCACAUUGUAUGGUAUGCAUGUCAACCGUCAACUCCGUUUCUUGAACCUUCAUGUGAAGUUUUCAAAUAGUCCCAAAUCUCUUUAGCAGAUUCACAGGCAGUGAUCAUGUUAUACUCAUCAGGUCUUAUACCACACACUAGCAGUUUUUUUGCCUUGUAGUUUUUUUCAAUCUUCUUAUGAUCAACCUCAUUAAAUUCUCUUUGAGUUUCAGGGAAUAUUCUUGUGGCCUCCUCUUCUUUUACUUCUCUUAUGGAAAUAUGUGGACUAUCUAGGAUUAUUCCAUUAGUUCACUGUCUUUCACCAUUAUAAAGUCAUACAUUCUUAUUUUCCACCAACCAUAGUAUUGGCCAUUAAAUUUUAGGGUCUAGUGGUGGACUAACCUUCUUCCAGGUUUGGUGGAGCCUCUAUUGAGCUGGAUAUUCUCUACAUAUUAGUCUUUUAGAGAGAUCUAGCUCUAAUACCAAUUGAUGGAGUGUACGAGUCCACCGAGCAUAACAGGACCUGGUCCCUAGACUAUGAAUACAGUGAAAAUAACCGAGGAAGAGGUAGUGUAAUAAAACAAAGAACACAAAAGUUUACAUGAAAACUUCUUUGCUCAAGGGAAGUAAAAAACAUGACUUACCAUUAAGAUUUCAAAACUUUACUCUUCUUCAAGCCACCAAGUGAUUACAAACUCCUGUAAUCACUAAAUCUUAUAAUAACUCUAUCACAACACAAGUAUGAUAACUCUAACACACUUACAACUAACUUUAGUCACACAUCCUAGGCAGCUAUACCCAGGACACAACACGAGAAUAAGAUAAACAAAUACUUGACCAACUUACAAAUGACUCAAACAACCAACUCUAGUUACUUUGACUCGAACUAAGACUUAGAAAAGCUACACAUCUACUAUCCUUGAUAAUCAGGAGUGGAUUUACAAUAUAAGAUCAAAAUAACCAAUAAUACAACACCCAGACUUAAGGUGAGCAAGCAAUCAGAUCCCUUGAAUGAGUUGUGUUCAUGAGUGGCUUUUGCUUCUUGAAAGUUCAAUCUUGAUGUUUGCAAAAACUAGCUUUUGUUGUGUGUAAAUGAUCCUUAUAUAUGAGACCACAAAACCUAGGUGAAUCGCUAUUGGUUGAGGUUCAGCUUCUCUAUUGUCGCACCACCAACUUUUUAUAGAAAAGUACAACCUCUAAAUGUAGUCAAGCAAGACAAUGUCAAGGAGCAUUAUGAACAAGAUCAGAUAACAUGGAUAAAUAAUAGGGCGUCUAGAAGGUCCCUUGGGGAUACUUUGAAGAUCAUCAAAACUUCAAUGGUGUAACUUAAGAAAAAAGCAGUUUGAGUAUUUUCAACUAGUUUAUUCAUAACUAUCAUGAGCCUCUUGGUAAGGAUCAUAGACAUAAUCUUGUAUAGGAUAGUACAACAAGAGAAAUUUCUAAAAUCUUUAACUGUGAUAGGGUUCUUAACGUUAGGAAUAAGGAUAACAGUGGUACAUUUCACAUUAUUAGGCAUAAAUAGAGUAUUAAAAAUAUCAAUUAAGUUAUCAAUUACUUCAUAACCUAUAACAGGCCACGAUUUUUUAAGAAAUAUGCAUUAAAUCCAUUAUGAUCUGGAGCCUUUAGAUCAUUAAUAUCCUUGACAACAUUAUAAACUUACUCAACAGUCACCUCUUGGAUAAGUUGCAAGUGAUCAUUUUUGGUUAAUAUACAUCAAACCUUCAUAACAGUAGGUUUUAUAACCGGCAAGGUGGUUGCUCUAGUUACUAAUAAAAUAUAAUAAAAAUGGCAGACUUCAUAUAUUAUAGCUUGUUCUGUAUAAAUCACUCUACCACUAUUAGUAACUAGAGUGUCAAUCUUAUUUUGAGCAUUCAUGCUUCCUAAUUUACAAGAAAAUAGAAGUGUUAGAAUCUCCAAGCCUUAACCAUUGUAAUCUUUCUUUUUGUCUAGAUACACCCUCCUUAUUCUUAAUCUAUUUCUCAUACUUACUUCUAAGUAACUUUUCCUCUUCUACAAGCUUUGAGAGAUGGCCAUCAAUAAUUACUUUUUGCAUCCUCAAAAGUUGAUCUCUAGCUACUUCUAUUUUUUAUCUAAGCUUGAGAAUUAUUUGUGUCUCAAUUGUUUCAUCCCUGCUUUCACAGAUAAUAUUUUUCUCCAAAUUAAUUUAAAAUUAGCUCUCCCACUAGUUAUUUUUCCAAUACCUAGGUACAACAUUUAAAAAAUUAGCAUGAUCAGUCAUGUAGUUAAAGAACCUAAACUUCUUAUAAGUGUUAAUUCUUUGGGUUUCAUUACACAGUUUGAGAGGUGAAUGAUCUAAAAGUAAAGGAUCUAUAGUUUUUACACUAGUGGUAUUUAUCUUCAUCAUCCAUUUAUCAUUUACUAAUGCUCUAAACACAUACCUAAAACACCCUAAGUUUUGAUCCUUAGAAAUUUCCUUGAUUUUGAACUCUCUGGACAUCAUAUGACUUAGGCUUACUAGUCGUAUGAUGUGGGUACGACCUAGGGAUCCCAAUUCAUAUGCUAAGUAGUGUAUUCUUGAUUAUGUACUACCCUAGGUAUGACUAAACUCCAUACGAGUUGCAUGGAGAUGGUAUGAGAGAGUCAUGCUAUUCAUAUGUUAGACCGUGUCAAACCUCUUUUGAAUUUAUAUUAGAUAAGAUUUAAGGGUACUUGUCGUAUAAUGAAGGUACAAAUUAGCUAAGAGGACUCGUAUGGUGGACAGUGUAUGAUGUCCAAUAUUCUAUCUAGGGUACAAGUUAUAGGUACCACUCGUAUGUUGUGCAUACGAGUUAAUGGGGGAGUUGUACCCUCCUACGAUGAUUUUUACAAAUUUAAGUUGGGGGUAUUAUGGACAUUUUUCCUCUUAAACCCUUUUGAUCCCAUGACUUAAAGCAGUUUUAGGACAUCAUUUAACUUAGUAUUCUCAAUCAAAAACACUUUAAACACUCAAAUCUCUCUCAAGGUCUUGGGUUAAGAAGAGGCUAGGGUUUGCUUCAAGGUGGUAAAUUAAGGCUCUAAGGGGAGGUUUCCAUCUGUAAUCUUUGGUAUCUAAGGCAUGUUACUUCUCCCUCAUUGUUAGUUUAACAAAAGUCAUGUUUUAAUGAGUGGUUUUCAUGAUUUAACUAUCCAUAUAGCUUAGUUUGAAUUAUAUGUUGGAGGUUUUGGUUGUAAAUGGUUGGAUAUUGUAUUCCUAUGCUUUACAUAUGGUGUUUCAUAUUAUAAUUGUUGUUUAAACACGUGGUUUCAUGAGAAUAGUCAAUUGGCACUUGGUUUUGAUUUUGGAAACUAUAUGCCCUCAACUUGUUUCUUAAAAUGCCUAAAAAUGAUUUUGUCACAUUGUUUGACUUUUAUUGAAAUUAUUGCAUUACAUAAUAUAGUAAUGGAACCUAAAUUGGUUUAAAUGGUUUUAAAUGAUUUGGUAAGGUCUUGGUGGCCAUGGUUUUGGUAAAUUAGAAAUCAUGUAGGGUACAUGGAAAUCCCCUAAAUGUUUUCUAAUUAUAUUGCUUGCAAGUUAUAGCCAGUUUGACUAUACUACUACAUAAUGCCUUGGUAAUUAACAUAUAGAAUUGGUGGUUUGGUUGUGUGCUAAUGGUUUUAAUUGGGCAAUAGUGGCGGGUUGUUAUAGCUUAUCGUGAAGGUGUGUGUCCAAAGGACGAAUAUUGGAAACUCAUAUUUGCCGACAUGUGGGUUGGUCAUGGUGACCUUAUACUUGUGAAGUACAUGGAAAUCCCUUAAGUUUAUACUUGUACAUAUGUAUCAUGGUGGGCGAAGGGUAAACGGGAAUCCUCGAUCCCUAAGAUAUCUCCUAUUCAUAUGGCUACACACAUUAGGGCCUAUUUAGGGGUAACACUAGAUCUAUAUAUCUCGUGGGUGGAUUGUGAUGGUAAAUCUACACAAACCCACGUUAAGGUUUUAAAUGCAUGAUAAAUCCAAUUCCCUUUCCCGAAAUGGAUUAUAUAUAUAAAUGUAUGGAUGUGAUUGGAUAUAGUUAUUUACUUGGUUUAAAAUAUUGUCAUUAUUUUAUCCUUACUCCUGAGUACAUGCUAGCAUUCACCUACUAACCCAUAUUCGGGAACUGUAUUCCUACGCGAUACAGGAACCGACCAUACUACUUUCACUCAAUGAUUAGAUUCGGGGACAACUUUGUGUCAAAUUGAAGUGGUGAGAUUCCAUACACCGAAAGACUUUAUUUUAUAUUAUGGACCUCUUUACAUAUAUUUUUUAUUUCUUAGACUUUAGUUUUGGGCUAUGGUUGGGGGCGUGUCCCGACCAGAUAUUGUUUUGAUUUUGGAUAGAGGUUUUGUAUGGCUACUUUGGGUUGGCAUGGGCGGUGUCGGUAUUGGUGCAAGUUUGGCAUUGGUAUUGGUAUUGAGGCUGACACCAUUUGUUUUUAUUUGAUUUAUGAUUGCUCUAUCUUGUUAUGUUAUAUAAUUGAAAUUUAUCCGACAUCAGGUGUAGGGUGGUUAUGGUUGGCACUAAGGGUGGUCUUCGCUCUCGAUUGGGCUUGAGGCACUUGGCACGACUAGACCUUGGUUAGGGUCAUGUCAGAUUGGUAUUAGAGCCCUAGGUUCAUAGUAAAUAUGGAGUCUAUAAAGGCAUGUCUAGUAGAGUCUCUUUUAGGGGUAUAUAGCACACCAUACUCAUAAGGAAGAGGCUACAAGACAUUUAGGAAUGUUUCUCUUUCUUGUGUUUUGUUUUUAAGUUGUGGAGUCUAAGUCUUGAAUUCUUCUCUAAUUACCAUAUGUACGCAUUUAAGAUCAUUCCUCGAUGAUCUAAAGUUCAUAGAAAAUCCUCUAUCCCAAUUGGGGACAAUGUUGAUGGGACACGCUCUACUCAUGGGAUCCAUACCCAAUCUAGGGGUCCAGUUCCUCAUAGUUCUGGAAUUCUACCGGUUCCCUCUAGUCUUUCUCAGAAUCCUCAGGCUGAAGUGACAAAUGCAGAGUUUCAUUAGUCCAUUCACAUGUUGGCACAGUUGGUACCGAAUCAGUCUGAGUGUGGUAUUCCUGUUACUCCAUCUUUUGAGGCCAUAAAGGUUGGCCAGUUCAUGAGGUUGAACCCUUUGACCUUUAUUGGUGUUAAGGUGGAGAAAGAUCCUCAAGGUUUUCUGGAUAAAAUAGAAAAGAUUUUUUUAGUUAUGCAUUCUAGGAAUAUGGAGGGUGUGGAGUUCGCCGCCUACCAGCCGAAGGAUGUGGUAUACCAAUGGUAUGAGAAAUGGGAAUAGUCAAGGGGUGAUGGUGCUGGGUCAUCCCUGUGGAAGGAUUUUUAUAAUGCUUUCUUAGACUGCUUCUUUCCAGGAGUUGAGGGAAGUAAAAAUGGAUUAUUUUUUUAAUCUGAAGCAAGAUAAGAUGUCAGGCAAGGACUAUGCCUUAAAGUUUCAUUAGUUAUCGCGGUAUGCUCCAGAGUUGGUUUCAAACAUUUAAGCCUAGAUAAGAAAGUUCACUUUGGGAUUGUCUCGUGAGUUAAUUCUUGAGAGUAAGGCUUCCUUGUUAAUCAAGGACAUGGAUAUCUCUAGGUUGGUAGUAUACAUGCAGCAGGUAAAGAAAGAAAAGAAGAAGCAACCUGAGUUAAGGGAGAGGCAAGGAAAGAAGCUUAGGUUUUUAGCAGAGUAUAGGUCAACAACAGAAUACCAGGGAUGAUGGUAAGUGGCCCAAGAAGAAGUGGGGAAAUUUUGGGUCUUACUCGAUGGCUACCGCCCCUACCCAAAGACAUCGAGUGAUAAGAGUUUCUAUAGUGGCGACAACUUCAGAGCACGGGUUGCCUAAUCUCAGGCUAGUGGGGCUCAGUCAGCUUCAUCAUAUCCUCCUUAUAGAUUUUGUGGUCAUUUACAUUGAGGUUUUUAUGAUGAGGGAAAGAGAAGGUGAUUCAACUAUGGUUAGACAGCGCAUAUACAUAGAAAUUAUCCUAUUGGUAAGGUUGCUUCGGGGGAAAAUAAGUUUCCUGUUACCUCUUCUUCAACUCUGGCACCAAAGGGUGCACCAUCUGGAUCCGACACUGGUCGGAACUAUUUUUAUGCUCUCACAACUCGACAAGAGUCUGAGGCAUCGCCUGAUGUCAUGACUGGUAUGUUGAAACUCUUCACUCAUAAUAUGUACUAUUUACUUGAUCCGAGGUCCACUCUAUCUUAUGUGACCUUAUUUGUGGUUGUGCAUUUUAAUUUUGGUCCCGAGAGUAUUUUAGACCCUUUUUCUAUUUUUACCCCGAUAGGUGACUCUAUGAUUGCUAAAAGAGUCUAUACGGGGUGUCUGGUAUCUAUUGGUAGUAAAGAAACUUUGGUGGAAUUUUUUGAAUUAGAUAUGGUAGAUUUCGAUGUUAUAUUAGGGAUGGAUUGGUUACACUCGUGCUAUGCACCUCUAGAUUGUCGUACCCGUAAGGUUGUCUUACAUUUCCCUAAUGAGCCGGUUAUUGAGUGGGAAGGUAGUUCCCUAGCUCCUAAAUGGAAGUUCAUAUCAUAUCUUAGAGCUUAGAGGUUAAUAUCCAGUGUCUCUAUCAUCUAGUUUGGGUUAAAGAUUCUAACUCGAAGGGUCCCUCAUUACACUACGUCCUUGUGGUAACCCUGAUGACCUUAGUGGUGCUCCUCCGGAUAGGGAGAUUGAGUUUGGGAUUGAUCUUGUUCUGGAAAUUCUUUAAAAUUCUAUUCCCAUGUAUAGAAUGGCUCCAGUUGGGUUGAAAAAGAUUAAGGAGCAAUUAAAGGAUCUCUUAGAUAAGGGUUUUAUCCAUCCUAGUGUUUCCCCAUAGGGUGCACCAGUGUUAUUCAUGCGUAAGAAGGAUUGGUCCCUUCAAAUGUAUAUUGAUUACCGAUAGUUGAAUAAGGUGACGGUAAAGAAUAAGUAUCCUUUUCCAAGAAAAAAUGAUUUGUUUGUUCAAUUUUAGGGUUUUAUAUUUUUCUCCAAAAUAGAUCUUUGAUUCGAGUAUCAUCAACUUAAGAUUAAGGAGGUGGAUAUCCCUGAGACUGCCUUCCGUACUCAGUAUGGGUAUUAUGAGUUUUUGGUUAUGUUUUUUGGGUUGACCAAUGUCUCGGGGGCAUUCAUGGAUUUGAUGAAUAGAGUCUUCCCUCAGUUUCUCGACUUAUUCGUCAUUGUAUUCAUAAACAAUAUUCUGGUGUACUCUAAGAGUAAGGUGGAUCAUGCCAAUUACCUCUAUUUUGUAUUGCAAACUCUGAAAGAGCAGUAGUUGUAUUCCAAGUUUUGUAAAUAUGAAUUCUGGUUGAUCGCUGUCAUUUUCUGGGUCAUAUUAUUUCUAAUGGACAGAUCAUAGUAGAUUCGCAGAAGGUUGCAGUGGUUAAGAAAUGGCCUAGACCCACGACUCCAACGGAUAUUCAAAGUUUCUUGGGUUUAGCUGCCUACUAUAGGAGGUUUGUGGAGAGUUUUUCUUCUAUAGCUGCCCCGUUGACUAAGUUGACUCAAAAGAAGGUAACUUUCCUGUAGUCUGACUCUUGGGAGGGUAGUUUUGAAAAGAUAAAGGAUAAGCUAACUUCGGCUCUGUUUUUGACUUUGCCUCAAGGCACUAAUGGGUUUGUGGUCUAUUGUGAUGCUUCUAGUGUUGGGCAUGGUUGUGUCCUGAUGCAACAUAGGAAGGUGAUAGCUUAUGCCUCUAGAUAGUUGAAGGUGCAUGAGAGAAAUUAUCCAACUCAUGAUUUAGAAUUAUUAGUUGUGGUGUUUGCAUUAAAAAUCUAGUGUCACUAUUUGUAUGGAGUGCAUGUGGGCAUCUUUUCUGAUCAUAUAAGCCUGCAGUAUCUGUUUACUCGGAAAGAGCUUAACCUCAGGCAAAGGAGAUCGCUUGAGCUACUCAAGGAUUAUGACAUGAGUCUUCACUACCAUCCAGGUAAAGCUAAUUGAUGUGUGAGCAUAUGCUAACACAUUUGAGGCUUUUAACUCUAAAUAAUUACAAGGUCUUAAGCAACUUUAGUUAUUUUUUAUUAGUUUAUGUUUGAUUUUGCAGUUUAAGCUGAUAUGAUAGAGAACCAACAAUAAUGGAAGCAAAAAGGUUAAAAUUUGAAUAAAUCUGAAGACAAGUAUGGCUGACGAUAUUUGUGAUAAGUCGUCAGCCCUAUGAUAAGCUAUCAGGUUAGUCGUCAUCAGUAGACAGAGAAUUGGCCUAAAGUGGAAGUUGUGAUGAUAUUUUGUGAUAAGUCGUCAAGGGUCUGAUAAGUCCUCAGGAAUGCUAUCAGCCUUAAAUAGGAGAUGAGUUUCAGUUAGAAGAGUUGACGAUAUUUUGUAAUAGGCCGUCAGGAUGGUGAUAAGGCAUCAAGGAUACCGUCAGACGUAGACAGGACAUGAGAAUUGGAGCAGGAAUAUGAUGAUGUUCUUGAUAAACCAUCAAAAUCCUAAUAAGCCAUCGUCGUCAGUCUUAGACAGUAAGAGCCAAAAGUGAAGAAGAGCUGACGACAUCCGUGAUAAGUCGUCAGACUCCUGAUAAGCUAUCACGAAUGUCGUCAUCUAUUCCAAGGAAAAGUUAUAACCUUGAUUUUGUUUCCAUAAUUAGGGUAAACUAUUUAAAGCUUUGUUUUAGGGUUUUCUAGGGGGAUUCGAGACAUUAUUCGACACUUUGAGUUUGACAACAUACUCUGAUAUUCUCUCUCUCUCUACUCUUAGACUUUAAUAACACAACUAUUUUAAGAGAUUAUUAUCAGUAUUUUUAGGAUUUUCCUUUGUGAUCUAAUCUACUAUUCACUAGUUAUUAUUCAUCUCUGCAAGUUUAUUUAUCUUUCAAAUCAUGAAUUCAAUUAUGUGUUUUGUUCAUUGCAUCAUGAGUGGAUAAACUCCCUUAACCUGAAUUAUGGGAUCUAGGGUUAGGUCUUGAUGAGGUGCUAAGUAUUCAAGAUUCAAUAGGUGGUAGGAUCUCUUGAUAAUUCUGAAGUUUUAAUUAACGUCUGUUGGUUACAAACAGUAGACACACCUGCUUUGAUUUGCUUAAGAAAGAAAUCAAAUAUAGUAGGAAGUGAAUUAUCAAUAGGGACUCAGAAAUACUUCGUUUAAUAAUCAGUGUUGUAACAAGGUUGGUUAACCUAAGGUAAAAUCUGGGUAGUAAAUAGAAAUUCCCUAAGUCCGAGAGGAUUAGGAAGUUAAAUGCUUAAGUAGGUCGAGAGAUAUUUAAGUAUAAUAUCGAUAAAGAUAGCUUGUUAUCCUACCCACCGUGAGAAUCUUGAACCACUUUUAGCAUCUUUCAUGUACCGGAAGCCCUAGUGAACAUAAUUCUGGUUAUUUCAUAAACUCUUGAUUUACAAACACUGAAAGUAAAGUGACAAACAACAAUUUGUUAAACCUAAACCUCCCAUUUCAGGAAACAUUAAACUAUCAGUGGAUUAAAUUGCAAACAACUUAAGUUCACACCAUAUUCCCUAUGGGAUUCGACCCCAACCUAGUUGGGUUUUCUAUUGACAACGAUCGCUUACACCCAUUCAAGAGUAUAAUUUGAGCAUUAUCACUAAUGUAGUUUCUGAUGAUCUUAUCAGUUUAUCCAUAAGAAGUCUAGCUCAUGUGGAUAAGAAGAAUCGGGAGUUAGUGAAGGACAUUCACUUUUUGGCUAACCUUGGAGUUCGUCUCUUGGACUCUGAGAAUGGUAGAGUGUUCGUUCAUAAAGUGAUGUAGUCAUCUCUUGAUGCUGAGAUUAAGGAGAAAAAAAUGUUAGAUCCUGUCAUGAAGAAGAUUAAGGGUGAUUUUCGUGGGUAGAAAGUGAUGGCCUUUGAGAUUAGCGGUGAUAGUACUUUACGGUACCAAAGGAGAUUAUGUGUUUUCGACGUUGAUAGUUUGCAAGAGAGAAUCUUGGUUGAGGCACAUGAGUCGCGCUAUGUCAUUCAUCCUUGUUCGACAAAAAUAUAUCAUGACCUUAAGGAGAUAUAUUAGUGGAACAAUAUAAAGAGGGAUAUGGCAAAUUUUGUGGCCAAGUGUAUGGUUCGUCAACAAGUGAAAGUUGAGCACGUGAGGCCUGGGGGUUUGCAUCAAGAAAUUGAGUUGCCUGAGUUUAAGUGGGAAGUGAUCAACAUGGAUUUUGUUAUCGAUCUUCCUCGAUCUCGAAAUUAGUUUGAUUCAGUUUAGAUCUUCAUGGAUAAAAUGACAAAGUCUGCUCACUUCUUGCUAGUGAAGACUAACUUCUUGGCUGAGGAUUAUGCAAGGUUGUAUCUUUAUAAGAUUGUGAAGUUACAUGGGGAACAUGUUUCUAUCAUCUCUAAUUGUGGUACGCAGUUUACAUCUCACUUUUAGCGAUUAUUUCAGAAAGGUUUUGGGACCAAGGUGAGUCUUAGUACUUAUUUUCACCCGCAGUCAGAUAGGCAAGCAAAAAAGACUAUUAAGAUAUUAGAGGAUAUGCUUUAUACAUGACUGAUUGACUAUGGUGGUAGUUGGGUUGAGCAUUUACCUCUUGUGAAGUUUGCUUAUAAUAAUAGAUACCACUCUAGCAUUGGGAUAGCUCCGUUUGAGGCCUUGUAUGGUAGGAAGUGUAGAUCUCUUAUUAGGUGGUUUGAGGUUGGUGAGGCAGAGGUGUUUGGCAAGAUUUGGUUCACCAAGCCAUAGAGAAGGUGAAUGUGAUUCGAGUUAGACUUAAGGCUUCCCAAACUCGCCAAAAGUCUAAUGUAGAUAUGAGGCGAAGAGAGUUAGAGUUUGAGGUUGGGGAUAGGGUGUUCUUGAAGAUAUCUCCCAUGAAGGAAGUGAUGCAGUUUAUUAAAAAGGGGAAGCUAUGUCCCUAGUAUGCUGGUCCUUACUUGGUCUUGAUAAGGGUUGGUAAUAUUGCAUAUGAGUUGGAGUUGCCUUCUAGUUUGAGCUCCAUUCACCCGAUGUUCGUUGUUUCUAUAUUGAGGAAGUGUGUGGGUGAUCCGUCUCAAAUCGUGCCUAUCAAGGAUAUUGGUAUUUUAGAUAUUUUAUAUUAUGAGGAGAUCCCAGUUGAGAUUUUUGAUUGGUAGGUUUGUCGGUUGCGGACCAAAGAUGUAGCUUCGGUAAAAGUUAUAUGGAGGAACCACAGGGUUGAAGAAGCUACUUGGGAAACAAAAGAGGACAUGGAGUAAAAAUAUCUAUUCCUAUUUUCUGCUUUUGAAAUUCGUGUUAAAGGUAUGUGUUCUCCAUCACCUCUUUGUUUUCUAACUUAUUUAAAGGAAUGAUUGAUUUCCUUGCAUCUUUGUUUUCUAACUUGGUUAAAGGUCAGGGUAGGGGGUGUUUAGGGUUUAAAUCAUGUUAGUCAUGCCUUAUCUCAUCAUUCGAAGAUGAAUAAUACAAAUGGGGGAGAAUUUAAACACCCUAGGUUUUGAUCCUUAGAAAUUUUUUGGGUUUUGAGCUCUCUGGACAUCAUACGACUUAGGCUUACUAGUUGUAUGAUGUAGGUAUGACCUAGGGGACCCAAAUCGUAUGUUAAGAAGUGUGUUCUUGAUCAUCUACUAUCCUAGGUAUCACUAGACUUCAUACGAGUCAUAUAGAGAUGGUACGAGUGAGGCAUGCUAUUCGUAUGUUGGAUAAUGUCCAACCCCUUUUGAAUCUGUCUUGGAUAUGGUUUGAGGAUACUUGUGGUAUGAUGAAGGUACAACUUAGGUAAGGGGAUUCGUAUAAUGGACAAUGUGUGAUGUCCAAUAUUUUGUCUAGGGUACGAGUGAUGGGCACAACUCAUAUGUUGUGUGUACGAGAUUAGGAGGGAGUCGUACCCUCCUACGAUGAUUUUUAAAGUUUAAGUUGAGGGUAUUCUGGACAUUUCCCCUCUUAACCUCUUUUGACCCCAUGACUUAAAACACUUUUGGGAUAUCAUUUACCCUAUUAUUCUCUAUCAAAACACUUAAACACUCUUGGAUCUUUCUCAAGCUCUUGAGUUAAGAAUAGGCUAGGGUUUUUUUCAAGGUGGUCAAUUAAGGCUCUAAAGGGUGGUUUUCCUCCGUACUCUUUGGUAUCUAAUGCAUGUUACUCCUCCCUGAUUGUUAGUUCAACUAAAUUCAUGUUUUAAUGAAUGAUUUUCAUGAUUUAAUUAUGGGUAUUGUUUGGUUUUGAACUAUAUGUUGGGAGUUUUGGUUGUAAGUGGUUGGAUAUUCUUUUGUCAUGUUUUACUUAUGGUUUUUCAUAUUAUAAUUAUGGUUUAAACAUGUGGCUGCAUCAGAAUGGUCAAUUGGUACUUGGUUUUUGUUUUGGAAACUAUAUGCCCUCAACAUUUUUGUUAAAAUGCCGAUAAGAAUGGUUUUUCACAUAGUUUGACUUUUAUCGAAACUAUUGCAUUGCAUAAUAUGGUAAUGAAACUUAAAUUUGUUUAAAUUAUUUUAAAUGAUUUUGUAAGGCCUUAGUAGCCAUGGUUUUGGUAAAUUGAAAAUCAUGUGGGGUACAUGGGAAACCCAUAAGUGUUAGCUAAUGACAUUGCUUGCAAGCUAUAGUCGGUAUGACGAUACCACUACAUAAUGCCUUGAUAAUAACACAUGGAAUUGGUGGUUUUGUUGUGUGCUAAUGGUUUUAAUCGAGCAAUAAUGUCGGAUUGUGAUAGUUUAUCAUGAAGGUGAGAGUCCAAAGGACAAACACUAAAAACUCAUGUUUGCCAACAUAAGGGUUGGUCAUGGUUACCUUAUACUUGUAGGGUACACGGGAAUCCCCUAAGUUUAUACUUGUACAUAUGUAUCAUGGAGGGCGGAGGGUACACGGGAAUCCUCGGCCCCUGUGAUAUCUCCGAUUUGUGCGUCUAUACGGAUCGGGGCCCGUUUAAGGGAUAACACUGGAACCAUAUAUCCCUAGGGUGGAUUACGAUGGUAAAGUUACAGAAACCCUAGUUAAAGGUUUUAAAUGCAUUCUAAACCCGACUCCCUUUCCCGACAUGGAUUAUCUAUAUAUAUAUAUAUAUAUAUAUAAAUAGAGAGAGAGGUGACUGCAUAUGGUUAUUUACUUGGUUUUAAAUGUUGGCAUUAUUUUAUCGUUACUCCUGAGUACAUGCUAGCGUUCAUCCGCUAACCCGUCUUCGGGCAUUGUAUCACCAUGCGAUGCAGGAACCGACCAUACUACUUCUCCUGCUCAGUGAUUGGAUUCGGGGAAAGAUUUGUGUCGGAUUGAAGUGGUGAUAUACUCCGGAAGGCUCUAUUUCAUGUUAUGGACUUCUCUACAUACUUUCAUUAUUUCUUAGACUUUAGUUUUUGGCUAUGGUCAGGGGCAUAUCCCGACUAGAUGUUGUUUUGAUUUCGAAUAGAGGCUUUGUGAGACUACUUUAGGUUGACAUGGGCGGUGUCAGUAUUGGUGUCAUCCUUGACAUUGGUAUAUAUUGGUAUUGGGGUUGACACCAUUUGACAGUAUUUGAUUUAUGAUUGUUCCAUUUUGUUAUGUUAUAUAAUCGGAAUUCAUCCGAUAUCAGGUGUAGGGUGAUUAUGAUUGGGCAUUGAGGGUGGUCUCCGAUCCCGAUUGGGCUUGAGGCACCCGACACGACUAAGCCCUGGUUCGGGUCGUAUCAAUACCCAUUACUCCAUGUAUACUUUCUGUCUAAAAUAUUCAACUCAAUUAGGCCGGUAGCUUACAAAAUCUAUCUAAAGUCCUUUAUCUCUGCCUCUUACACAGUAGUAUCAUUAAUCCUGUCAUCUACCUCAGAAAUAGCAUUAAAGUCACCUAUCAAUAACCAGGGCUCUUGAAUUGUAUUGUAGCAUCUUGUGAGAUCACUCCAAAGUAAUUUACUUCUUCUAUAUUAUGAAAACCAUUAACAGUUGACAAAUAAAAUUACAGCAUUGUAUGUCACUAAGUCAUGGGUGAAUUGCUCAUGCACUUGUAAUACACUCACCUUCAGCUUAGUAGGAUCCCAUAGAAACCAAAUUCUCCCUUUCGUAAGUGUUGUAGUUAGCUUCCCAAUUCCAGUUUCUUGCAACCUUCUUCAUAAUUUUAUUAGAUCUUUCAUUUACUCUAUGUUCUAUAAUGGCUAUAAUACAACACUGUUAUCUCUAAGGAACGUACUCAUAUCCUCUAUGCUUAUAGAGCUUAUUAAAGCCCCUCACAUUCUAUGUAACCAACAUAAUUGAGUUAACAAAGGUUGAGGGAGCCUUCCAUUACCAAUUCUACUUCCAAUCAUAUGAAGCAGAUGCUGAGAGACGAGAUCAACUUCAAUACCAUCUUCCAAUACUUGAAACCCAUUUCCAGUGCUAGUGGAAGCAUUACUGGUGGAAGCAAUAGUCAUUUGCCUUCACUGAAUUUAGCUAACUGGCAAGCAUUUGUCCGGGUUGAUUCUUUCCCCACCUCCCNN